AUCAAAAAAGAAUGUGGGGUGUUUCUCUUUUCAAUUAUAGAAGAAACAAAAAAACAUUCUUUUUCUAUAAUCUCUUCUCUCGAAGUCACCAUGACCAAUUUCAGAUUCAUUCAUUCAUGAUUCUUGAAGAGAAACCAUCACGCGUUAUGUAACAAAAGAUUCUGACGAAUGAGUUCUCCGACAGCGCGGUUUAGGUCGAAUAAGUUAAGGAACGGUUAAUUAUAGCGAUGAUUGUUUCGGUGUUUCUUCGUAAACGAUCUUGAAGAGGGAUGAAUGGAGAAGCGGACCGGUGUCUUAUUCCUUUUCUAAGUUGCAAUAUUGAUGCCUCGACGACCCUAAUAAAUGAAGUAUUAUGAAUACUUUCUUGAUGGGAUGAAUCCACUGAAGGAUUAUAUUUUAGACACUUAGGAGAAUGCCAGGAGGCACGUGCGGGUCACAGUGCAGCAGUUGUUAUCCAACGGCUCUUCAUCUUUGAUGGCUGUGGAAAAAUUCUUCUAAUAAUAACAAUGAGGGUUUAAUUUUGUUACUGGCAGCAGCUGAUGCACUUUCUCGUUUGGAUGGCCUUGGUAACCUUAGCAAGCAGGUGCGUACAAAAUAAUCAAUCGAGUUUUCAGGUUUCAGCUUUUGGACUGUUCAUAACUGAAGGUUCUUGGAGUCAAUUAGUAAUAGGAAGCGGCUUGAUAAGGCUCUAAUGUUCUGGCUCUGCAGGCCAAAUCCUACUUUAGGAGAGGGAGAAAGUAACUUGUACACAACAAAUUAAAGGAAAAGUUAGUCUGAAGAGAGAGAAAAAUAUCUCAGAUAUGUUUAUAUAGGAAAAUUUUGAGGAAAAAGGGGUUAUGGGAAUUCCAUAUCAGCUGUUUAGCUUAUAGGUUGGCGCCAAAGGUGUUCACUAAGGCUGGGAGAAUUUGCUUACAUUUUCCAAAUUGUUCUUCUCGUUUUCACUUUGGCCAAAGGUGUUUGACGGGAACUGUUCCUUCCAAUAGCUUAAUUUUGUUAAUAGUCACAAAGCUUUGACUUAUUAUAAGUUUCCAUGCGUGUCUUUCUGGUUUCCUUUUUAGAAGAGCACAAAUGUAUUGUGUUUAUCAUAAUUAUAAUAUGUACUCAUCAUGUUACAGUUUCUUUUGUGUGGUGCUUCAUGCUUUCAAACCUACAAGUAGUUGUUCCCUUGGAUUAAUUGGUGCAAGUUGCCCUUACUCAAUGUAUUUGUUUAUACAAUAAUUAUCAGGGUUG
This is a long non-coding RNA of Trifolium pratense (red clover), 1230 nucleotides long. RefSeq lists it as uncharacterized. Lineage: Eukaryota; Viridiplantae; Streptophyta; Magnoliopsida; Fabales; Fabaceae. The record is from RefSeq and is a predicted model, not a curated record. The transcript has 4 exons.